AGUGAACGCUGGCGGUAGGCCUAACACAUGCAAGUCGAACGGCAGCACAGUAAGAGCUUGCUCUUACGGGUGGCGAGUGGCGGACGGGUGAGGAAUACAUCGGAAUCUACUUUUUCGUGGGGGAUAACGUAGGGAAACUUACGCUAAUACCGCAUACGACCUACGGGUGAAAGCAGGGGAUCUUCGGACCUUGCGCGAUUGAAUGAGCCGAUGUCGGAUUAGCUAGUUGGCGGGGUAAAGGCCCACCAAGGCGACGAUCCGUAGCUGGUCUGAGAGGAUGAUCAGCCACACUGGAACUGAGACACGGUCCAGACUCCUACGGGAGGCAGCAGUGGGGAAUAUUGGACAAUGGGCGCAAGCCUGAUCCAGCCAUACCGCGUGGGUGAAGAAGGCCUUCGGGCUGUAAAGCCCUUUUGUUGGGAAAGAAAAGCAGCAGGUUAAUACCCCGCUGUUCUGACGUUACCCAAAGAAUAAGCACCGGCUAACUUCGUG
Molecule: ribosomal RNA, 492 nt
Filed under: uncultured bacterium
Lineage: Bacteria
Description: partial 16S ribosomal RNA
Rfam family: Bacterial small subunit ribosomal RNA
Source: RNAcentral